CCACGAUGCCACUCUGACAAGGCUGCCCCCCAGAGAAGGCCACCGCUGCAGAUGAGGCCGCUCACUGAUGAGGCUGCACCCCAGACAAGGCUGCUCCCAAAAAGAGGCCACUCUGGACCCCUCACCGAGGGGGCCUCUUCCCAGAUCAAGCCACUCCCCAGAACGAUGCAGCUCUGGCAAGGCUGCGGCUCAGGGUGACGAGGCAUUUCAUGACCCUGGAAUUCCUAGGAAGUAAUAUACAAUGUAAAUAAAAGCAACCUUCUGAAUAACUGGAAGGCUCCAUGGGAUCAGCCUGGUUCUAAUAUGAGAAGUCAUCUCCUAUGCAGACUAGAUGGAAC
This 338-nucleotide long non-coding RNA is filed under the name Mustela putorius furo (domestic ferret). RNAcentral describes it as "lncRNA (ENSMPUG00000029473.1)". Lineage: Eukaryota; Metazoa; Chordata; Mammalia; Carnivora; Mustelidae. The record is from RNAcentral.